CACCCUGCUCCUCAACUGCUAUACCAAGCUCAAGGACAGCUCGAAGCUGGAGGAGUUCAUCAAGAAAAAGAGUGAGAGUGAAGUCCACUUUGAUGUGGAGACAGCCAUCAAGGUCCUCCGGCAGGCUGGCUACUACUCCCAUGCCCUGUAUCUGGCGGAGAACCAUGCACAUCAUGAGUGGUACCUGAAGAUCCAGCUAGAAGACAUUAAGAAUUAUCAGGAAGCCCUUCGAUACAUCGGCAAGCUGCCUUUUGAGCAGGCAGAGAGCAACAUGAAGCGCUACGGCAAGAUCCUCAUGCACCACAUACCAGAGCAGACAACUCAGUUGCUGAAGGGACUUUGUACUGAUUAUCGGCCCAGCCUCGAAGGCCGCAGCGAUAGGGAGGCCCCAGGCUGCAGGCCUCCUUUUUCCUCUCUUGCCAUCCUAGGCCAACUCUGAGGAGUUCAUCCCCAUCUUUGCCAAUAACCCGCGAGAGCUGAAAGCCUUCCUAGAGCACAUGAGUGAAGUGCAGCCAGACUCACCCCAGGGGAUCUACGACACACUCCUUGAGCUGCGACUGCAGAACUGGGCCCACGAGAAGGAUC
This 585-nucleotide unclassified non-coding RNA is filed under the name Homo sapiens (human). RNAcentral describes it as "VPS11 core subunit of CORVET and HOPS complexes (ENSG00000280616.4)". The record is from RNAcentral. Lineage: Eukaryota; Metazoa; Chordata; Mammalia; Primates; Hominidae.